RNAcentral lists this unclassified non-coding RNA (314 nucleotides) under plant metagenome. Its description in RNAcentral is "partial contains 5.8S ribosomal RNA, internal transcribed spacer 2, and large subunit ribosomal RNA". The stretch from base 1 to 105 matches the Rfam family "5.8S ribosomal RNA", at positions 50 to 154 of the family's 154-position model. The record is from RNAcentral.
GAAAUGCGAUAAUUAAUGUGAAUUGCAGAAUUCAGUGAAUCAUCGAGUCUUUGAACGCACAUUGCGCCUCCUGGUAUUCCGGGGGGCAUGCCUGUCCGAGCGUCAUUGCUGCCCUCAAGCACGGCUUGUGUGUUGGGCUUCCGUCCCUGGCAACGGGGACGGGCCCAAAAGGCAGUGGCGGCACCAUGUCUGGUCCUCGAGCGUAUGGGGCUUUGUCACCCGCUCCCGUAGGUCCAGCUGGCAGCUAGCCUCGCAACCAAUCUUUUUAACCAGGUUGACCUCGGAUCAGGUAGGGAUACCCGCUGAACUUGAGC